Molecule: long non-coding RNA, 1485 nt
Filed under: Triticum aestivum (bread wheat)
Lineage: Eukaryota; Viridiplantae; Streptophyta; Magnoliopsida; Poales; Poaceae
Description: long non-coding RNA (TAES_LNC000561)
Source: RNAcentral
UACAUACGAGGAGGGGAGUUGCUAUUCAAAGCGAGCUAAACAGAACAGUGUUGUCCAUUGUUCAUGGAAUUGAUCAGAGCAACUUAUAGAUAUUUUUCAGUACUAAAGUUGACUAGCAGCUUGCAGAUGCUCCUCUUCCUAGUUUAUAUACAAGAGUACAUAGACAUGUUGACACGGCUGGUUAACUUCCCUGCAUUAAGUAGCUAGUUAACAAAAGUUCAUGUAUUAGCUAGUUUAAACUAUAGCAUGAGUAUGGAGACAUGGCGACACAGCUAGUUAACAUCCUGUGUUACCUAGUUAACCCACUGUUUCAACUAGUAAAACUAAAAAAAUCAUGAAUAUUUAUAGAAAAAGGUUACAAACCAUUGUAGCAACUUCUUCAAAAAGCGAACCCUCUCAUGCUUCCGUGUGAGUGAUUUCUACAUGAUAUUCUUUCUCUUCUAACGCCGGAUAUCCAAGACACUGCUCUUUGCCUUCUGCACUUCUAUUGUCUGUUUUAUUUUCAGGGUCGCUUCCUUUUUCAUCCGUGUCAGUGCUCGUGUGCUACUGUAGUCACAAAAUGUACAUGUGACAUUAGUGCUGUGAACAAGGGGACUAAAAAAAUAAGGCAGAAAAACUAAGGAUAUGAACUGGAUAAACAUUUUAGCCACUAGCAUAAAUCAUCAGACAGUUUUAGUUCCUCUUAUCAAAAACACAAACUUUACUUCAGGAAUGUUCUCAACUUUACUUCAGGAAUACACAAACUUUACUGAUGCUUGUGUUAUAAAAACAGGACAACAAGAACAGGUGAAACUUUGAUGAUUGUUUAUGCAUCUUCUAUUCCGAUAUGUUAUAAGCUUGGCCAUCUGUAAAACUCUGUAGCUUCCAGCUUGUGUUAUACACAAAUUUCUACUAUGCAUUCAAAGUUGCUGAUGCGGACAUCAACAAGGUGUUGUGCAUAUUCUAGGCGGAUGGCUACUCGAGAAAAAUGUAUGAGUUGUAUGGUGAUUGUUUGAGUUUUGGCACGACAUACAAUACGAAUUGUUACAAUAUGCCAAUUCCACCAUUUGUUGGCAUCACUCUGACACGGGCCCCUCUCUCGACGCCGCCCCCUGCAACAAAACAAAGGUCCCCAGUUGCGAGCAAGUUAGGAGACAUGCAGUUGCGUGCCUAGUGUGGGACAUGCAACUGGCCCCAUCUUCUCUCGAAGACACCCCCUCCGGCAAAAAACAAAGGUCCCCGAGUUGCGUCCAAGUUCGAAGACCUGCAGUUGCGUGCCUGUUGUGGGACAUGCAACUAGCCCCAUCUCUCUCAACGCCGCCCCUUCCAACAAAAACAAAGGUCCCCCCAGUUACGACCAAAUUAGAAGACAUGCAAUUAUGUGCCUAAUGUGGGACAUGCAACUGGCCCCCUCCGACAAAAUAAAGGUCCUAGUUGCAACCAAGUUAGAACCCAUGCAGUUGCGUGCCUAGUGUGGGACAUGCAACUGGCCCCUCUCUAUCGACA